RNAcentral lists this ribosomal RNA (526 nucleotides) under Clostridioides difficile. Its description in RNAcentral is "bacterial SSU rRNA". It matches the Rfam family "Bacterial small subunit ribosomal RNA", at positions 1014 to 1533 of the family's 1533-position model. The record is from RNAcentral. Lineage: Bacteria; Bacillati; Bacillota; Clostridia; Peptostreptococcales; Peptostreptococcaceae.
UUCCCUUCGGGGACAUUGGUGACAGGUGGUGCAUGGUUGUCGUCAGCUCGUGUCGUGAGAUGUUGGGUUAAGUCCCGCAACGAGCGCAACCCUUGUCUUUAGUUGCCAUCAUUAAGUUGGGCACUCUAGAGAGACUGCCAGGGAUAACCUGGAGGAAGGUGGGGAUGACGUCAAAUCAUCAUGCCCCUUAUGCUUAGGGCUACACACGUGCUACAAUGGGUAGUACAGAGGGUUGCCAAGCCGUAAGGUGGAGCUAAUCCCUUAAAGCUACUCUCAGUUCGGAUUGUAGGCUGAAACUCGCCUACAUGAAGCUGGAGUUACUAGUAAUCGCAGAUCAGAAUGCUGCGGUGAAUGCGUUCCCGGGUCUUGUACACACCGCCCGUCACACCACGGGAGUUGGAGACGCCCGAAGCCGACUAUCUAACCUUUUGGAAGAAGUCGUCGAAGGUGGAAUCAAUAACUGGGGUGAAGUCGUAACAAGGUAGCCGUAUCGGAAGGUGCGGCUGGAUCACCUCCUUUCUAAGGA